AGCGGAUGAAGGAGCUUGCUCCUGGAUUCAGCGGCGGACGGGUGAGUAAUGCCUAGGAAUCUGCCUGGUAGUGGGGGACAACGUUUCGAAAGGAACGCUAAUACCGCAUACGUCCUACGGGAGAAAGCAGGGGACCUUCGGGCCUUGCGCUAUCAGAUGAGCCUAGGUCGGAUUAGCUAGUUGGUGAGGUAAUGGCUCACCAAGGCGACGAUCCGUAACUGGUCUGAGAGGAUGAUCAGUCACACUGGAACUGAGACACGGUCCAGACUCCUACGGGAGGCAGCAGUGGGGAAUAUUGGACAAUGGGCGAAAGCCUGAUCCAGCCAUGCCGCGUGUGUGAAGAAGGUCUUCGGAUUGUAAAGCACUUUAAGUUGGGAGGAAGGGUUGUAGAUUAAUACUCUGCAAUUUUGACGUUACCGACAGAAUAAGCACCGGCUAACUCUGUGCCAGCAGCCGCGGUAAUACAGAGGGUGCAAGCGUUAAUCGGAAUUACUGGGCGUAAAGCGCGCGUAGGUGGUUUGUUAAGUUGGAUGUGAAAUCCCCGGGCUCAACCUGGGAACUGCAUCCAAAACUGGCAAGCUAGAGUAUGGUAGAGGGUGGUGGAAUUUCCUGUGUAGCGGUGAAAUGCGUAGAUAUAGGAAGGAACACCAGUGGCGAAGGCGACCACCUGGACUGAUACUGACACUGAGGUGCGAAAGCGUGGGGAGCAAACA
This 713-nucleotide ribosomal RNA is filed under the name uncultured bacterium. Its description in RNAcentral is "bacterial SSU rRNA". It matches the Rfam family "Bacterial small subunit ribosomal RNA", at positions 65 to 774 of the family's 1533-position model. The record is from RNAcentral.